AGAUUGAACGCUGGCGGCAUGCCUUACACAUGCAAGUCGAACGGCAGCACGGGAGCAAUCCUGGUGGCGAGUGGCGAACGGGUGAGUAAUACAUCGGAACGUGCCCAAUCGUGGGGGAUAACGCAGCGAAAGCUGUGCUAAUACCGCAUAAGAUCUACGGAUGAAAGCAGGGGAUCGCAAGACCUUGCGCGAAUGGAGCGGCCGAUGGCAGAUUAGGUAGUUGGUGAGGUAAAGGCUCACCAAGGCGACGAUCUGUAGCUGGUUUGAGAGGACGACCAGCCACACUGGGACUGAGACACGGCCCAGACUCCUACGGGAGGCAGCAGUGGGGAAUUUUGGACAAGUGGGGGAAACCCUGAUCCAGCCAUCCCGCGUGUGCGAUG
Molecule: ribosomal RNA, 383 nt
Filed under: uncultured soil bacterium
Lineage: Bacteria
Description: bacterial SSU rRNA
Rfam family: Bacterial small subunit ribosomal RNA
Source: RNAcentral